Molecule: ribosomal RNA, 497 nt
Filed under: uncultured bacterium
Lineage: Bacteria
Description: partial 16S ribosomal RNA
Rfam family: Bacterial small subunit ribosomal RNA
Source: RNAcentral
GAUGAACGCUGGCGGCGUGCCUAAUACAUGCAAGUCGAGCGAACAGACGAGGAGCUUGCUCCUCUGACGUUAGCGGCGGACGGGUGAGCAACACGUGGAUAACCUACCUAUAAGACUGGGAUAACUUCGGGAAACCGGAGCUAAUACCGGAUAAUAUAUUGAACCGCAUGGUUCAAUAGUGAAAGACGGUUUUGCUGUCACUUAUAGAUGGAUCCGCGCCGCAUUAGCUAGUUGGUAAGGUAACGGCUUACCAAGGCAACGAUGCGUAGCCGACCUGAGAGGGUGAUCGGCCACACUGGAACUGAGACACGGUCCAGACUCCUACGGGAGGCAGCAGUAAGGAAUCUUCCGCAAUGGGCGAAAGCCUGACGGAGCAACGCCGCGUGAGUGAUGAAGGUCUUCGGAUCGUAAAACUCUGUUAUUAGGGAAGAACAAAUGUGUAAGUAACUAUGCACGUCUUGACGGUACCUAAUCAGAAAGCCACGGCUAACUACGUG